UGGGGAAUCUUGCGCAAUGGGCGAAAGCCUGACGCAGCGACGCCGCGUGGGGGAAGAAGGCCUUCGGGUUGUAAACCUCUUUCAGCAGGGACGAAGCCACUCGGGUGAAUAGCCCAGAGGGUGACGGUACCUGCAGAAGAAGCCCCGGCUAACUACGUGCCAGCAGCCGCGGUAAUACGUAGGGGGCAAGCGUUGUCCGGAUUUAUUGGGCGUAAAGAGCGUGUAGGCGGCCAGACAGGUCCGUUGUGAAAACUAGAGGCUUAACCUCUAGACGUCGAUGGAAACCGUUUGGCUAGAGUCCGGAAGAGGAGAAUGGAAUUCCUGGUGUAGCGGUGAAAUGCGCAGAUAUCGGGAAGAACACCCGUGGCGAAGGCGGUUCUCUGGGACGGUACUGACGCUGAGACGCGAAAGCGUGGGGAGCGAACAGGAUUAGAUACCCUGGUAGUCCACGCCGUAAACGAUGGGUGCUAGGUGUGGGCGGUGUCGACUCCGUCCGUGCCGAAGCUAACGCAUUAAGCC
Molecule: ribosomal RNA, 519 nt
Filed under: uncultured Actinomycetes bacterium
Lineage: Bacteria; Bacillati; Actinomycetota; Actinomycetes
Description: bacterial SSU rRNA
Rfam family: Bacterial small subunit ribosomal RNA
Source: RNAcentral